UGUUUAUCAAAAACAUGUCCUUUAGUAAUUAUUUAUAUAAGGUCUGACCUGCCCAAUGAUUUUAAUGGCCGCAGUAUUUUAACUGUGCAAAGGUAGCAUAAUUAUUUGUCUUUUAAUUGAAGUCUAGUAUGAACGGUCGGACGAGGUAUAAACUUUCUUUAAUUUAAUUAUUGAAUUUAAUUUUUUAGUUAAAAAGCUAAAAUUUUUUUGUAGGACGAGAAGACCCUAUAGAUCUUUAUAAUUUAAAAUUAAGUAUUAAAUUUAGUUAAUUAAGUUUUAAUUAUUUUUUAAUUAUUUGGUUGGGGUGACUUUAGAAUUUAAAAAACUUCUAAUUUUAAAAUUCAUUAAUUAGUGUUAUAUGAUCCAUUAUUAUUGAUUAAAAGAUUAAGUUACCUUAGGGAUAACAGCGUAAUUUUUUUGUAGAGUUCAUAUCGAUAAAAAAGCUUGCGACCUCGAUGUUGGAUUAAAAUUAGAUUUAGGCGUAGCCGUCUAA
RNAcentral lists this ribosomal RNA (493 nucleotides) under Bactrodes spinulosus. RNAcentral's name for it is "partial 16S ribosomal RNA". It matches the Rfam family "Bacterial large subunit ribosomal RNA", at positions 1801 to 2566 of the family's 2925-position model. The record is from RNAcentral. Lineage: Eukaryota; Metazoa; Arthropoda; Insecta; Hemiptera; Reduviidae.